CCUACGGGAGGCAGCAGUGAGGAAUUUUCCGCAAUGGGCGAAAGCCUGACGGAGCAAUACCGCGUGAGGGAUGAAGGAUUUUGGUCUGUAAACCUCUUUUCUCAAGAAAGAAGUUCUGACGGUACUUGAGGAAUAAGCAUCGGCUAACUCCGUGCCAGCAGCCGCGGUAAUACGGGGGAUGCAAGCGUUAUCCGGAAUGAUUGGGCGUAAAGCGCCUGUAGGUUGUUUAUUAAGUCCGUUGUUAAAGCCUAGGGCUUAACCCUAGAAAAGCAAUGGAAACUAGUAGACUAGAGUAUGGCAGGGGUAGAGGGAAUUUCUAGUGUAGCGGUGAAAUGCGUAGAUAUUAGAAAGAACACCGGUGGCGAAAGCGCUCUACUGGACCAUUACUGACACUCAGAGGCGAAAGCUAGGGUAGCAAAAGGGAUUAGAUACCCCUGUAGUCCUAGCCGUAAACGAUGGAUACUAGAUGUUGUGCAUUAUGUACAGUAUCGUAGCUAACGCGUUAAGUAUCCCGCCUGGGGAGUACGCUCGCAAGGGUGAACUUAAAGGAAUUGACGG
RNAcentral lists this ribosomal RNA (558 nucleotides) under uncultured bacterium. RNAcentral describes it as "bacterial SSU rRNA". It matches the Rfam family "Bacterial small subunit ribosomal RNA", at positions 338 to 916 of the family's 1533-position model. The record is from RNAcentral.